GUAGGUGAAGUGAUUUACUCAUGGAGCUGAAGUCAGUCGAAGAUACCAGCUGGCUGCAACUGUUUAUUAAAAACACAGCACUGUGCAAACACGAAAGUGGACGUAUACGGUGUGACGCCUGCCCGGUGCCGGAAGGUUAAUUGAUGGGGUCAGCGCAAGCGAAGCUCCUGAUCGAAGCCCCGGUAAACGGCGGCCGUAACUAUAACGGUCCUAAGGUAGCGAAAUUCCUUGUCGGGUAAGUUCCGACCUGCACGAAUGGCGUAAUGAUGGCCAGGCUGUCUCCACCCGAGACUCAGUGAAAUUGAACUCGCUGUGAAGAUGCAGUGUACCCGCGGCAAGACGGAAAGACCCCGUGAACCUUUACUAUAGCUUGACACUGAACAUUGAGCCUUGAUGUGUAGGAUAGGUGGGAGGCUUUGAAGUGUGGACGCCAGUCUGCAUGGAGCCGACCUUGAAAUACCACCCUUUAAUGUUUGAUGUUCUAACGUGGACCCGUAAUCCGGGUUGCGGACAGUGUCUGGUGGGUAGUUUGACUGGGGCGGUCUCCUCCUAAAGAGUAACGGAGGAGCACGAAGGUUGGCUAAUCCUGGUCGGACAUCAGGAGGUUAGUGCAAUGGCAUAAGCCAGCUUGACUGCGAGCGUGACGGCGCGAGCAGGUGCGAAAGCAGGUCAUAGUGAUCCGGUGGUUCUGAAUGGAAGGGCCAUCGCUCAACGGAUAAAAGGUACUCCGGGGAUAACAGGCUGAUACCGCCCAAGAGUUCAUAUCGACGGCGGUGUUUGGCACCUCGAUGUCGGCUCAUCACAUCCUGGGGCUGAAGUAGGUCCCAAGGGUAUGGCUGUUCGCCAUUUAAAGUGGUACGCGAGCUGGGUUUAGAACGUCGUGAGACAGUUCGGUCCCUAUCUGCCGUGGGCGCUGGAGAACUGAGGGGGGCUGCUCCUAGUACGAGAGGACCGGAGUGGACGCAUCACUGGUGUUCGGGUUGUCAUGCCAAUGGCACUGCCCGGUAGCUAAAUGCGGAAGAGAUAAGUGCUGAAAGCAUCUAAGCACGAAACUUGCCCCGAGAUGAGUUCUCCCUGAGACUUUAGGUCUCCUGAAGGAACGUUGAAGACGACGACGUUGAUAGGCCGGGUGUGUAAGCGCAGCGAUGCGUUGAGCUAACCGGUACUAAUGAACCGUGAGGCUUAACCUUACAACGCCGAAG
Molecule: ribosomal RNA, 1202 nt
Filed under: Salmonella enterica
Lineage: Bacteria; Pseudomonadati; Pseudomonadota; Gammaproteobacteria; Enterobacterales; Enterobacteriaceae
Description: partial 23S ribosomal RNA
Rfam family: Bacterial large subunit ribosomal RNA
Source: RNAcentral